CAAUUUUCAUAUCUAAAUACCAUAGCAGGUAAGAUAUACACACACACACAUAUAUAUAUAUAUAUACGGCGAUCCUUCGGUAUAGGUACACACGUGACUUUGUUUACAUUUCUGAAGAUAAGAGAAACCCUUUUCUCCCACCCCUAACUCUAACCCCCCAUAUAUAAAAAAAACACUUUCUUGAAAUGUAUCCGGUACCUAUACCGAAGGCGGCGAGCUGGCAGAAACGUUAGCGCACCGGGCGAAAAGCUUUGUGGUAUUUCGUCUGUCGUUACGUUCUGAGUUCAAAUUCCGCCAAGGUCGACUUUGCCUUUCAUCCUUUCGGGGUCGAUUAAAUAAGUACCAGACAAUCACUGGGGUCGAUAUAAUCGACUUAAUCCGUCUGUCCCCUCUGUGUUUAGCCCCUUGUGAGUAGUAAAGAAAUAGUAAGUACCGGUUUAUAAACAUGUAGGCUUCACACAUGAUUCUAUGAUGUAAAUUUUAAUAUAUUUAAAAGUUCAGUUAUUCAGGUUUAUUUCUAUGGAAAUGGAAAUUUUCCACAACUGAAUCCAGAUUUUUUUAAGCAGCCUCUCUAUCUUACACUGUUGUUUCUUUAUUAUUUCAGAAUAUCGGAUGAUAUUGGCUUAACAGAAGAUAUAUCCUCAAUAUUUAUCAUCUUUUAAAGACGAAAUGAAAAUGUUUUCCAGAACAGAUAUAUAAGAUUGUUUCCAUAAAUCUUAUAUAUCUGCCAGAUAAGACCGGAGCCUGGUGCAGCCUUCUGGCUUCCCAGAUCCCCGGUCGAACCAUCCAACCCAUGCUAGCAUGGAGAACGGACGUUAAACGAUGAUGAUGAUGAUGAAAUCUAUGGUGAAUUCCUCUGAAAUAUUUUCUCUGACCUCAGAUUAUUAGCAGAAUUUCUAUACAUUGCAAUCUGGAGUGUCAACACAAGUGAUUUUGUUUGCUAGUUUAAACUAAGACAAAUUCACAGAAAGUAACACCGAACAGAAAUAAAGCUGUGGAAAUAUUUCUUAGGAAUAAACUAUAAAAACAAAAGAACAAGAAAAUAUAUAUAUUGUGACGACAGAAGUAAAAUAAUUUCGAUUUCAUCUCAAUCGAAGGAGAGGAGCUUUCUCCGUCCGGGUUGCGGAUCCGUGGAACAAGCUGCCAGAC
This 1149-nucleotide long non-coding RNA is filed under the name Octopus vulgaris (common octopus). The record is from RNAcentral. Lineage: Eukaryota; Metazoa; Mollusca; Cephalopoda; Octopoda; Octopodidae.